RNAcentral lists this ribosomal RNA (161 nucleotides) under Davidsoniella australis. Its description in RNAcentral is "5.8S ribosomal RNA". It matches the Rfam family "5.8S ribosomal RNA". From Rfam's summary of the family: 5.8S ribosomal RNA (5.8S rRNA) is a component of the large subunit of the eukaryotic ribosome. RNAcentral also lists the same sequence under 7 other names. Lineage: Eukaryota; Fungi; Ascomycota; Sordariomycetes; Microascales; Ceratocystidaceae. The record is from RNAcentral.
UUAAAACUUUCAACAACGGAUCUCUUGGCUCUAGCAUCGAUGAAGAACGCAGCGAAAUGCGAUACGUAAUGUGAAUUGCAGAAUUCAGUGAAUCAUCGAAUCUUUGAACGCACAUUGCGCCUGGCAGUAUUCUGCCAGGCAUGCCUGUCCGAGCGUCAUUU